ACAGUCGGUGUGAUGUCUGGUUACACAGAUCCUUCCCUCGUCUCUAGUACUAGCGCUCUCAGCACAUCCCAGUAUUACUGAUAAGGCUGUUCUGAGAACUGCUUGGACAAGCCUUUUCACAGUGGCUGGAAGCAGGAUGAAGUCACUGUAUUUUAUAUAAACCCGACUUUGAUGCCUGGAGAGCCUGUGGUUGUGUAGCUGCUAUCAUAGGAGCUGGUGUUGAAAGAUGAGAGAUGUGAGGAAGGGAACGGACAGACUAGACUCUGGAUUUAAAGCCUGAGGUGGAGUGUGGAAUUGUGAUCGCCGAUGUCUGUCUAACCCAAAUAAGUCUCCCUGCUUUUUGAUUUUUAUGACGGAUAUCAGCAUACGCUGACGAGGACUCUCUAAAGUGGAGAAUGGUGAGAGGACGCUCUUUGUUUACAUCCCUGUUAGGGAGCAUUUCUCCUUCGCCAAGAUAAUCUAUCCACCUGACAGGUGUGGCAUAUCAAGACGUUGAUUUAAACAGCAUGGUCAUUACACAGGUAUACCGUGUGCUGGGGACAAUAAAUUGCCACUCUGAAAUGUACAAUUUUGUCACGCAAUGCCACAGAUGUCUCAAGUUUUGAGGGAGCGUGCAAUUGGUAUGUUGACUGCAGGAAUGUCCACCAAGAUGUUGCCAGAUAAUUUAAUGCUAAUUUCUCUACCAUAUCCCACAUCCAACGAC
Long non-coding RNA from Oncorhynchus tshawytscha (Chinook salmon), 703 nucleotides. The record is from Ensembl. NCBI's taxonomy places the organism in Eukaryota, Metazoa, Chordata, Actinopteri, Salmoniformes, Salmonidae.